AUGCACGAAAGCGUGGGGAGCAAACAGGAUAAGAUACCCUGGUAGUCCACGCCCUAAACGAUGUCAACUAGCUGUUGGGGCCUUCGGGCCUUGGUAGCGCAGCUAACGCGUGAAGUUGACCGGCUGGGGAGUACGGUCGCAAGAUUAAAACUCAAAGGAAUUGACGGGACCCGCACAAGCGGUGGAUGAUGUGGAUUAAUUCGAUGCAACGCGAAAAACCUUACCUACCCUUGAGAUGUCUGGAAUCCUGAAGAGAUUUAGGAGUGCUCGCAAGAGAACCGGAACACAGGUGCUGCAUGGCUGUCGUCUGCUCGUGUCGUGAGAUGUUGGGUUAAGUCCCGCAACGAGCGCAACCCUUGUCAUUAGUUGCUACGAAAGGGCACUCUAAUGAGACUGCCGGUGACAAACCGGAGGAAGGUGGGGAUGACGUCAAGUCCUCAUGGCCCUGAUGGGUAGGGCUUCACACGUCAUACAAUGGUCGGGACAGAGGGUCGCCAACCCGCGAGGGGGAGCCAAUCCCAGAAACCCGAUCGUAGUCCGGAUCGCAGUCUGCAACUCGACUGCGUGAAGUCGGAAUCGCUAGUGAUCGCGGAUCAGCAUGUCGCGGUGAAUACGUUCCCGGGUCUUGUACACACCGCCCGUCUCACCAUGGGAGUGGGUUUACCAGAAGUAGUUAGCCUAACCGUAAGGGGGGCGAUUACCACGGUAGGAUUCAUGACU
RNAcentral lists this ribosomal RNA (720 nucleotides) under Alcaligenes sp. PH26. RNAcentral's name for it is "bacterial SSU rRNA". It matches the Rfam family "Bacterial small subunit ribosomal RNA", at positions 749 to 1476 of the family's 1533-position model. The record is from RNAcentral. Lineage: Bacteria; Pseudomonadati; Pseudomonadota; Betaproteobacteria; Burkholderiales; Alcaligenaceae.